GACGAACGCUGGCGGCGUGCCUAAUACAUACAAGUAGAACGCUGAAGGAGGAGCUUGCUUCUCCGGAUGAGUUGCGAACGGGUGAGUAACGCGUAGGUAACCUGCCUGGUAGCGGGGGAUAACUAUUGGAAACGAUAGCUAAUACCGCAUAAGAGUAGAUGUCGCAUGACAUUUGCUUAAAAGGUGCAACUGCACCACUACCAGAUGGACCUGCGUUGUAUUAGCUAGUUGGUGAGGUAACGGCUCACCAAGGCAACGAUACAUAGGCGACCUGGAAGGGGGGUCCGGCCCACCGGGAAUGGGACACGGCCCAAGAUCCCUCGGGGGGGAGCCAGAGGGGAAUUUCGGGAAAUGGGGGAAGGCUGGACGGGCAACGCCGGGGGGGUGGAGAAAGGUCUCGGAUCGUAAAGCUCUGUUUUUAGGGGAGAAAGAGAUGGGGAAUGGAAAGUUCACGUUGUGACGGUACCUUACCAGAAAGCGACGGCUAACUACGUG
This 495-nucleotide ribosomal RNA is filed under the name uncultured bacterium. RNAcentral's name for it is "partial 16S ribosomal RNA". It matches the Rfam family "Bacterial small subunit ribosomal RNA", at positions 28 to 507 of the family's 1533-position model. The record is from RNAcentral.